AACGCUAGCUACAGGCUUAACACAUGCAAGUCGAGGGGCAUCAGGGUAGCAAUACCGCUGGCGACCGGCGCACGGGUGAGUAACACGUAUCCAACCUACCGUUAACUCGGGGAUAGCCUUUCGAAAGAAAGAUUAAUACCCGAUAGUAUAUUUUCUUCGCAUGUUGUAAAUAUUAAAGAAUUUCGGUUAUCGAUGGGGAUGCGUUCCAUUAGGCAGUUGGCGGGGUAACGGCCCACCAAACCUACGAUGGAUAGGGGUUCUGAGAGGAAGGUCCCCCACAUUGGAACUGAGACACGGUCCAAACUCCUACGGGAGGCAGCAGUGAGGAAUAUUGGUCAAUGGACGAGAGUCUGAACCAGCCAAGUAGCGUGAAGGAUGACUGCCCUAUGGGUUGUAAACUUCUUUUAUAUGGGAAUAAAGUUCUCCACGUGUGGAGUUUUGUAUGUACCAUUAUGAAUAAGCAUCGGCUAACUCCGUGCCAGCAGCCGCGGUAAUACGGAGGAUGCGAGCGUUAUCCGGAUUUAUUGGGUUUAAAGGGAGCGUAGGUGGACUGGUAAGUCAGUUGUGAAAGUUUGCGGCUCAACCGUAAAAUUGCAGUUGAUACUGUCAGUCUUGAGUACAGUAGAGGUGGGCGGAAUUCGUGGUGUAGCGGUGAAAUGCUUAGAUAUCACGAAGAACUCCGAUUG
This 686-nucleotide ribosomal RNA is filed under the name uncultured bacterium. RNAcentral describes it as "bacterial SSU rRNA". It matches the Rfam family "Bacterial small subunit ribosomal RNA", at positions 32 to 715 of the family's 1533-position model. The record is from RNAcentral.